This 329-nucleotide ribosomal RNA is filed under the name uncultured bacterium. Its description in RNAcentral is "bacterial SSU rRNA". It matches the Rfam family "Bacterial small subunit ribosomal RNA", at positions 570 to 898 of the family's 1533-position model. The record is from RNAcentral.
CGUAGGUGGUCCUUCAAGUCAGAUGUUAAAUUUCUCGGCUUAACUGGGAAUGGUCAUCUGAUACUGCUGGACUUGAGGGUGGUAGAGGGAGGUGGAAUUCCCGGUGUAGUGGUGAAAUGCGUAGAUAUCGGGAGGAACACCAGUGGCGAAAGCGGCCUCCUAGGCCAUUCCUGACACUGAGGCGCGAAAGCGUGGGGAGCGAACAGGAUCAGAUACCCUGGUAGUCCACGCCCUAAACUGUGGAAACUAGGUACAGGGAGUAUCGACCCUUCCUGCGCCGUAGCUAACGCGUUAAGUUUCCCGCCUGGGGACUACGGUCGCAGACUAAA